This 382-nucleotide ribosomal RNA is filed under the name uncultured eukaryote. Its description in RNAcentral is "partial 18S ribosomal RNA". It matches the Rfam family "Eukaryotic small subunit ribosomal RNA", at positions 592 to 976 of the family's 1831-position model. The record is from RNAcentral.
UGUAAGCGUAUACCAAAGUUGUUGCGGUUAAAACGCUCGUAGUCGGAAUUUGGCAGUUCCGGAUGUGUGCACGUCGUGUGCGCACUUCGCGGGGAUUGCUUUUGUGGUCUUGCGUAGGAUGAGGCACUUUUAUUAGUGAACGUCCUCACGCAACCACUUUUUACUGUGAGAAAAUCAGAGUGCUCAGAGCAGGCAUUUGCCGUGAAUGUAUUAGCAUGGAAUAAUAGAAUAGGACUUGGUUCUAUUUUGUUGGUUUGUUGGGACUGAGUAAUGAUUAAGAGGGACAGUUGGGGGCAUUUGUAUUUCGGUGCUAGAGGUGAAAUUCUUAGAUUACCGAAAGACAAACUGCUGCGAAAGCGUCUGCCAAGGAUGUUUUCAUUGA